Molecule: ribosomal RNA, 1507 nt
Filed under: uncultured bacterium
Lineage: Bacteria
Description: 16S ribosomal RNA
Rfam family: Bacterial small subunit ribosomal RNA
Source: RNAcentral
UAGAGUUUGAUCCUGGCUCAGAUUGAACGCUGGCGGCAGGCCUAACACAUGCAAGUCGAACGGUAACAGGAAACAGCUUGCUGUUUCGCUGACGAGUGGCGGACGGGUGAGUAAUGUCUGGGAAACUGCCUGAUGGAGGGGGAUAACUACUGGAAACGGUAGCUAAUACCGCAUAACGUCGCAAGACCAAAGAGGGGGACCUUCGGGCCUCUUGCCAUCGGAUGUGCCCAGAUGGGAUUAGCUUGUUGGUGGGGUAACGGCUCACCAAGGCGACGAUCCCUAGCUGGUCUGAGAGGAUGACCAGCCACACUGGAACUGAGACACGGUCCAGACUCCUACGGGAGGCAGCAGUGGGGAAUAUUGCACAAUGGGCGCAAGCCUGAUGCAGCCAUGCCGCGUGUAUGAAGAAGGCCUUCGGGUUGUAAAGUACUUUCAGCGGGGAGGAAGGGAGUAAAGUUAAUACCUUUGCUCAUUGACGUUACCCGCAGAAGAAGCACCGGCUAACUCCGUGCCAGCAGCCGCGGUAAUACGGAGGGUGCAAGCGUUAAUCGGAAUUACUGGGCGUAAAGCGCACGCAGGCGGUUUGUUAAGUCAGAUGUGAAACCCCCGGGCUCAACCUGGGAACUGCAUCUGAUACUGGCAAGCUUGAGUCUCGUAGAGGGGGGUAGAAUUCCAGGUGUAGCGGUGAAAUGCGUAGAGAUCUGGAGGAAUACCGGUGGCGAAGGCGGCCCCCUGGACGAAGACUGACGCUCAGGUGCGAAAGCGUGGGGAGCAAACAGGAUUAGAUACCCUGGUAGUCCACGCCGUAAACGAUGUCGACUUGGAGGUUGUGCCCUUGAGGCGUGGCUUCCGGAGCUAACGCGUUAAGUCGACCGCCUGGGGAGUACGGCCGCAAGGUUAAAACUCAAAUGAAUUGACGGGGGCCCGCACAAGCGGUGGAGCAUGUGGUUUAAUUCGAUGCAACGCGAAGAACCUUACCUGGUCUUGACAUCCACGGAAGUUUUCAGAGAUGAGAAUGUGCCUUCGGGAACCGUGAGACAGGUGCUGCGUGGCUGUCGUCAGCUCGUGUUGUGAAAUGUUGGGUUAAGUCCCGCAACGAGCGCAACCCUUAUCCUUUGUUGCCGGCGGUCCGGCCGGGAACUCAAAGGAGACUGCCAGUGAUAAACUGGAGGAAGGUGGGGAUGACGUCAAGUCAUCAUGGCCCUUACGACCAGGGCUACACACGUGCUACAAUGGCGCAUACAAAGAGAAGCGACCUCGCGAGAGCAAGCGGACCUCAUAAAGUGCGUCGUAGUCCGGAUUGGAGUCUGCAACUCGACUCCAUGAAGUCGGAAUCGCUAGUAAUCGUGGAUCAGAAUGCCACGGUGAAUACGUUCCCGGGCCUUGUACACACCGCCCGUCACACCAUGGGAGUGGGUUGCAAAAGAAGUAGGUAGCUUAACCUUCGGGAGGGCGCUUACCACUUUGUGAUUCAUGACUGGGGUGAAGUCGUAACAAGGUAGCCGUA